RNAcentral lists this ribosomal RNA (497 nucleotides) under uncultured bacterium. Its description in RNAcentral is "partial 16S ribosomal RNA". It matches the Rfam family "Bacterial small subunit ribosomal RNA", at positions 28 to 507 of the family's 1533-position model. The record is from RNAcentral.
GAUGAACGCUGACGGCGUGCCUAAUACAUGCAAGUCGAGCGAACGGACGAGAAGCUUGCUUCUCUGAUGUUAGCUGCGGACGGGUGAGUAACACGUGGAUAACCUACCUAUAAGACUGGGAUAACUUCGGGAAACCGGAGCUAAUACCGGAUAAUAUUUUGAACCGCAUGGUUCAAAAGUGAAAGACGGUCUUGCUGUCACUUAUAGAUGGAUCCGCGCUGCAUUAGCUAGUUGGUAAGGUAACGGCUUACCAAGGCAACGAUGCAUAGCCGACCUGAGAGGGUGAUCGGCCACACUGGAACUGAGACACGGUCCAGACUCCUACGGGAGGCAGCAGUAGGGAAUCUUCCGCAAAGGGCGAAAGCCUGACGGAGCAACGCCGCGUGAGUGAUGAAGGUCUUCGGAUCGUAAAACUCUGUUAUUAGGGAAGAACAUAUGUGUAAGUAACUGUGCACAUCUUGACGGUACCUAAUCAGAAAGCCACGGCUAACUACGUG